GACGAACGCUGGCGGCGUGCUUAACACAUGCAAGUCGAACGAUAAGGCCCUGCUUUUGUGCGUUGGUGGGAUGGCGAAGGGGUGAGUAGCCCGUGAGUAACGUGCCACUUACUUAAGGAUAACUUCAGAUAGCUGGGGCUACUGCCGGCUAGGAUUUAUUGCUGCUUGAUGGGUGUUGGAACGUUUCGGCGGUUGGGAAUGGACGCGCGGCUUAUCAGGUCGUUGGUGGGGUUGUGGAUUAGCAAGGCUAUGGCGGGGAGCAGGCCCGGGAGGGUGACGGGCCACAUUGGGACUGGGACAGGGCCCAGACUCCUACUGGAGGCAGCAGUGGGGAAUAUUGCACAAUGGGCGGAAGCGUGAUGCAGAAACGCCGCGUGCGGGAUGACGGCCAUCGGGUUGUAAACCGCUUUCUCCUGUGACGAAGAGUGAGUGACGGGAAUGGGUAAAGAAGCACCGGCUAACUACGUG
Molecule: ribosomal RNA, 468 nt
Filed under: uncultured bacterium
Lineage: Bacteria
Description: partial 16S ribosomal RNA
Rfam family: Bacterial small subunit ribosomal RNA
Source: RNAcentral